Molecule: ribosomal RNA, 99 nt
Filed under: Pteropus alecto (black flying fox)
Lineage: Eukaryota; Metazoa; Chordata; Mammalia; Chiroptera; Pteropodidae
Source: RNAcentral
GUCUACUGCCAUGCCACCCUGAUCUUGGAAGCUAAGCAGGAUCAGGCCUGGUUAGUACUUGGAUGGGAGACCACCUAGGAAGACCAGGUGCUGUAGGCA